Molecule: non-coding RNA, 111 nt
Filed under: Andreesenella formicacetica
Lineage: Bacteria; Bacillati; Bacillota; Clostridia; Peptostreptococcales; Natronincolaceae
Description: Clostridium formicaceticum TPP sequence
Rfam family: TPP riboswitch aptamer (THI element)
About the family: Vitamin B(1) in its active form thiamin pyrophosphate (TPP) is an essential coenzyme that is synthesised by coupling of pyrimidine and thiazole moieties in bacteria. The previously detected thiamin-regulatory element, thi box was extended, resulting in a new, highly conserved RNA secondary structure, the THI element, which is widely distributed in eubacteria and also occurs in some archaea.
Source: RNAcentral
GAUCAACACUGGGAGUGCCGGUGAGGCCGGCUGAGAAAAAGGCCUAUUAGUCUUUAAUCCCUAUAACCUGAUCUGGAUUAUACCAGCGGAGGGAAGUGUAUUUACAUUAGA